Molecule: ribosomal RNA, 614 nt
Filed under: uncultured sulfate-reducing bacterium
Lineage: Bacteria
Description: bacterial SSU rRNA
Rfam family: Bacterial small subunit ribosomal RNA
Source: RNAcentral
CCCGCGUUUCAUUAGCUUGUUGGUGAGGUAACGGCUCACCAAGGCUUUUAUGGGUAACCGGCCUUAGCGGGUGACCGGCCACACUGGGACUGAGAUACGGCCCAGACUCCUACGGGAGGCAGCAGUCGAGAGGCAUCCACAAUGGGGGAAACCCUGAUGGUGCGACGCCGCGUGGGUGAUGAAGGUUUUCGGAUCGUAAAGCCCUUUCAGCAGGGAAGAAUGUAUCCGGUGCUAAUACCAUCGGAUGAGAGACUGUACCUGAAGAAGAAGCUCCGGCUAACUCCGUGCCAGCAGCCGCGGUAAGACGGGGGGAGCAAGCGUUGUUCGGAUUUACUGGGCGUAAAGGGCGUCUAGGCGGACUAGCAAGUCAGGUGUGAAAGCCCACGGCUCAACCGUGGAAUUGCACUUGAAACUGCUAGUCUUGAGUACGGAAGAGGAAAGCGGAAUUCCUGGUGUAGCGGUGAAAUGCGUAGAUAUCAGGAAGAACACCGGUGGCGAAGGCGGCUUUCUGGUCCGAUACUGACGCUGAAGCGCGAAAGUGUGGGGAGCAAACAGGAUUAGAUACCCUGGUAGUCCACACUGUAAACGAUGGACGCUAGGUGCCGGGCAAUCGA